AGUGUAGGCGGUCUGCUAAGUCGGGUGUGAAAGCCCUGGGCUCAACCCAGGAAGUGCACUCGAAACUGGCAGGCUAGAGUACUGGAGAGGUUGGUGGAAUUCUCGGUGUAGAGGUGAAAUUCGUAGAUAUCGAGAGGAACACCGGUGGCGAAGGCGGCCAACUGGACAGAUACUGACGCUGAGACUCGAAAGCAUGGGGAGCAAACA
Molecule: ribosomal RNA, 207 nt
Filed under: uncultured delta proteobacterium
Lineage: Bacteria; Deltaproteobacteria
Description: partial 16S ribosomal RNA
Rfam family: Bacterial small subunit ribosomal RNA
Source: RNAcentral